Molecule: ribosomal RNA, 253 nt
Filed under: uncultured bacterium
Lineage: Bacteria
Description: partial 16S ribosomal RNA
Rfam family: Bacterial small subunit ribosomal RNA
Source: RNAcentral
UACAGAGGGUGCGAGCGUUAAUCGGAAUUACUGGGCGUAAAGCGUGCGUAGACGGCUAUCUAAGUCGGGUGUGAAAGCCCCGGGCUCAACCUGGGAAUUGCAUUCGAGACUGAAUAGCUAGAGUAUGGUAGAGGGUGGUGGAAUUUCCUGUGUAGCGGUGAAAUGCGUAGAUAUAGGAAGGAACACCAGUGGCGAAGGCGACCACCUGGACUGAUACUGACACUGAGGUGCGAAAGCGUGGGGAGCAAACAGG